GGGCCCACAUUCUCUUACCAAGUAAGUUGUUCUUGCAUUUUAUUUUCUUUGUUGCUUGUUUGGUGGUUGAGAUCUUAUGGUAUAGUAUUACUAGUGUUUUGUUGAAGUCAUUACUCCUGGAUUUGUGAGUGUAUGAGGUUAGUACAAGACCUUGAUAGUGUCUUUGCUGAAGUAACACUAGUAUUUGAGAGUUUUAUGAGAAAUUGAGUCAUUUUGAGUGAGGUGAUGUGAGGGAGAUGUUUGAAAGCCAUAGAAUUACAUGACAUAGCAUUUCCCACCAUUUAGACGUGAUUUGGACUCAAAGUAUGCAAAAAAGUGCAAAACAGCGAAUU
Molecule: long non-coding RNA, 332 nt
Filed under: Physcomitrium patens
Lineage: Eukaryota; Viridiplantae; Streptophyta; Bryopsida; Funariales; Funariaceae
Description: long non-coding RNA (PPAT_LNC012204)
Source: RNAcentral